AGAGUUUGAUCAUGGCUCAGAGCGAACGCUGGCGGCAGGCCUAAUACAUGCAAGUCGAACGGCUCUUCGGAGCAGUGGCGCACGGGUGCGUAACGCGUGGGAAUCUACCCUUUGCUACGGAAUAACUCAGAGAAAUUUGUGCUAAUACCGUAUGAUGUCGAAAGACCAAAGAUUUAUCGGCAAAGGACGAGCCCGCGUAGGAUUAGCUAGUUGGUGUGGUAAAGGCGCACCAAGGCGACGAUCCUUAGCUGGUCUGAGAGGAUGAUCAGCCACACUGGGACUGAGACACGGCCCAGACUCCUACGGGAGGCAGCAGUGGGGAAUAUUGGACAAUGGGCGAAAGCCUGAUCCAGCAAUGCCGCGUGAGUGAUGAAGGCCUUAGGGUUGUAAAGCUCUUUUACCAGGGAUGAUAAUGACAGUACCUGGAGAAUAAGCUCCGGCUAACUCCGUGCCAGCAGCCGCGGUAAUACGGAGGGAGCUAGCGUUGUUCGGGAUUACUGGGCGUAAAGCGUACGUAGGCGGUUAUUCAAGUCAGGGGUGAAAGCCUGGAGCUCAACUCCAGAACUGCCCUUGAAACUAGAUAACUAGAAUCUUGGAGAGGUGGGUGGAAUUCCGAGUGUAGAGGUGAAAUUCGUAGAUAUUCGGAAGAACACCAGUGGCGAAGGCGACUCACUGGACAAGUAUUGACGCUGAGGUACGAAAGCGUGGGGAGCAAACAGGAUUAGAUACCCCGGUAGUCC
RNAcentral lists this ribosomal RNA (740 nucleotides) under uncultured bacterium. Its description in RNAcentral is "bacterial SSU rRNA". It matches the Rfam family "Bacterial small subunit ribosomal RNA", at positions 8 to 796 of the family's 1533-position model. The record is from RNAcentral.